AGACCAUGAACCCACCAUAAGCAAGAAGGAACAAACUCCGGACACACCAUCUUUGAGAACUGUAACACUCACCGCAAGGGUCCACGGCUUCAUUCUUGAAGUCAGCGAGACCAAGAGCCCACCAAUUCCGGACACAUAAUCACCGGGAGGACCCAGACACACGCAGAGGUAAGAGCAUUUAAAGAUGGAAAGAAGAUUACUGUCUACAAGACAAGGAAAGAGGCCGUAGAAGAAACCAACCAGGCCAAAACUUUGAUCUCAGACUUCUAGCCUUCAGAACAAGAGCACUGUGAGAAAAUAAUCAUGUUCAUGGUGAUUUCUAAUCAUCUCCCAAUGGUGCUCAGUGGCAUUAUAGGAGCUACGACUAAUACAAAAAUCAGAAGUAUUCCAAUCACAUUGCAUUUGAAUUCUAUGCUCCAAGUUCAUAAUCCAUUCUCCCAUCCAAAUUACUGUUUGACAGAGAUCAUUAAUUUGAUAUGCCAAUUUUUGAUCUAUUUGGCAUUGGGAAUUCCAAAGCUUAGAAGAAUUUUUCUGCCAACUAUCCACAAAGCCUGCAGUUUGAAUAGAAGAGUGCAAAGCAACACCAGCAGCAGCAGCAGUAGCUGUAACAGCUAUAAGGCCCAGGAUCACAGCUAUUAAAGUAAAUAUGAAUCUGUUUGAUCU
Pongo pygmaeus (Bornean orangutan) is the source of this 663-nucleotide long non-coding RNA. RefSeq lists it as uncharacterized. Lineage: Eukaryota; Metazoa; Chordata; Mammalia; Primates; Hominidae. The record is from RefSeq and is a predicted model, not a curated record. The transcript is spliced from 4 exons.